This 165-nucleotide small nuclear RNA is filed under the name Hydatigera taeniaeformis. RNAcentral's name for it is "Taenia taeniaeformis U1 spliceosomal RNA". It matches the Rfam family "U1 spliceosomal RNA". Rfam says of the family: U1 is a small nuclear RNA (snRNA) component of the spliceosome (involved in pre-mRNA splicing). Lineage: Eukaryota; Metazoa; Platyhelminthes; Cestoda; Cyclophyllidea; Taeniidae. The record is from Rfam by way of RNAcentral.
GAACUUACCUGGCGCCGAGUUCAGAGUGAUCAGCGAGGCUCUGACCCCAGGUGGGCGCUCGGCAUUGCACUCCGCUGUGUUGAAGCCUACGACGCUGCGACGAACUCUAAUCGGGUUCGCCCGAGUGCAUAGUUUUUGCCAGUGGGGAGCCUUCGGACAUCCAUU